This 1462-nucleotide long non-coding RNA is filed under the name Nicotiana tabacum (common tobacco). RNAcentral's name for it is "long non-coding RNA (NTAB_LNC011059)". Lineage: Eukaryota; Viridiplantae; Streptophyta; Magnoliopsida; Solanales; Solanaceae. The record is from RNAcentral.
ACAACCUAGGACCCUUUCACUUCACUUCCUCACCCCAGUUCAUCUCUAUGAACCCUAGCUCGCUGCCCUGAAAUUCCUAAGCCCCCACCGGCCGGCAGUGUGGCCCAGCCAACCCCAAAUCCUUACCACACAAGCACCACCCACCCUUGAUUCCUAAUACACCACCGCAUCUCCCAAAAUCUCCACCAAAUCCGGCCAGCUUUAAAUCUAAAAAAAAAAGAAAGAAAAACCUUCAAAUUCUUCAAGUUUCCAAGAGCGAUUGAGCCAGAAACUUGUAUUGAUUGUUUUUUCUCGAUGAGAACAUGCAAUUAAUACCAAUUUCAGUUCAAAUCAGAGAGUGUCGGAGGUCCGUUCAAGCCAACUGUCCGUCUGCCUAUUUUAGGUAUCUCUGUUCAUUUUUUUCGGCCUUUGUUUUAUUCCCAUCUUCGUCUCCUUCUGGUUUUAUAUUUUUGUUUUUGUUUUUCUGUUUUAGAUCGUUUUGCUUGCAUGUUAGGAUUAAGUCAUGUUAGUUUAUAAUAUUUAGCUUAAUAAUACGAUUAGCAUUUGUCAAUUUUCCUUCUCCUUCUUUUUUAAUAUUAUUAUUAUUCUGCUCCAUUAAGGAUUUCAUGGUCAGGGUUUAGAAUUGGUUUAGUAUGCAUUUUCUUGGGAAUUCAUUUGCUUAAACAUGAACUUGGUCUUGCUAGUGCAAGAAGCCCAAAGAGCUAUUUGAAGCUCGGUGGUGCAGGGGCCCAAAGGCACUUGGGCAGUUUGGUUCAAGGUCUGGUGCGUUGAAGUAAUUAGUAAGCGUUUGAGGGGUAUUUUAAGGAAUUUGAUAGGGGAAUCUCCCCUAACCCUUUGGAAAUUUCUAGGAAGGUGGGAUUGGAUUAGUUUUAACAAACAACUUUAAAAUGCAAGGGCUGAAAGGAAUAGAUAAAAAUUGGGGAAGGUGUAAAUGGAAAAGUUAAAAUAUCAAUUCUGCUGCCUUAAGGGCUUUCUAUAAAAGACUUGUUUCCUUCAUUCUCAAGGGAGAGGAGAAUAUUGAAAAGAUAAAUGGUUGAGCCAUUCAUACUCUGAUAAUACUAAAAAAAAUUGUAGUCUUUUGGUCAAACUUGUCUUGGCUUUGUUUUUUAACAUUGAUUGUUAGUCAGAAUUUGAAAGCUUCAAAGAAUUUUUGUUCAUCUGGUUUUAAAAUGAUCUAAAGUGGGCUAAAAAUUGGUGUUGGUGUUGCUGAUCUACUGUUGUUGCUAAGUUCCUCACUAUCCUUGUUUUUUCUAAACCUUCAGGUAUUUCUCGACUCUGGACAACAUAUGAGAUGUAAAUGUGUACUCCAAAUGUGGAAAAUAUGUUGAAUACAAGUUGUUAUUUUGUUGAAUCUUACUUUCUCGUUCUUCAAUUGCAUUCGUGUUUUGUAAUAACUUAAUUUUUAUAUGUAUUCUACUGUCCUUUUAUGUUAGUGAUGUGGUAUCAUAUUAUUAAGUUUGGG